This 227-nucleotide ribosomal RNA is filed under the name uncultured bacterium. Its description in RNAcentral is "partial 16S ribosomal RNA". It matches the Rfam family "Bacterial small subunit ribosomal RNA", at positions 383 to 607 of the family's 1533-position model. The record is from RNAcentral.
CUGAACCAGCCAAGUAGCGUGAAGGAUGACUGCCCUAUGGGUUGUAAACUUCUUUUAUAAAGGAAUAAAGUCGGGUAUGCAUACCCGUUUGCAUGUACUUUAUGAAUAAGGACCGGCUAACUCCGUGCCAGCAGCCGCGGUAAUACGGAGGAUCCGAGCGUUAUCCGGAUUUAUUGGGUUUAAAGGGAGCGUAGAUGGAUGUUUAAGUCAGUUGUGAAAGUUUGCGG